UAUAUAAACCGCUUAAUUACAAGGAACUAUCUAAAAAUAUGUUAACUGAAAUUUGUGUCUUAUUUUUGGAAGGUGAGGAAAGCCCAUCACUUCCUGAGAUGUCUUUUCAGAAUCCCCACAUUGCACAGAUGACGGAAGGUACCGACGGUUACGGAGACCAUCAUGUACCUAGAAACCUCAGUCAAGAAACAGAUAACAGCAGCACAGCAUCAGAGGCAUCGUACGUUAAUGUACCACCUAAAAAAGAGAGGGAGGACCAUUCUGCUGCAUCUUCAGAGAGUGACUAUGAUGAACCUGGAACCUGGUGAAAUCAACAUGAUGACUGCAAGAGAUUUUUCUCAGCAGGACAGAUGAUUCACAACAACACGUCCCUGAAAACCAUGGAAUGUAACACAGACGGGCCCUUGCAAUACCUGAGUGUUUGUUAAGAAUAUUCUAGAAGAAAAACAACAACAAAAAAUUGACAUUGUUCGUCUAUUUUAUAAUAAACAUUCUAAACAAUUAACCAUUCUAUUAUUAACCUCACAGAUGGAUCCAAUCUCAUUCUUUUUUUAACUCUCAAUUGUGUAAAAUGUAAAAAAAUUUGCAUGUGUAUUUAGAAUAUUUGCAUAUGUUAAAGUCUUUCAUUAAUCAAAAUAAUAGUCUACACAAUAUAAAUCAGCCACAGUGCUUCAUCAUUGUAAGGGAGAAUGUGGCGUCGACAAAGACACUCACAAUUACUUCACACACACAAAAAACCACACUCAGUGAAGAACACAAAACUUAUUUUUGUUAUCCAGCCCCACAAACCGCACAAAGCUAAUUUUGAAAAUGGCCAGCAUUCUCUUUUGUGAGGAGAGAGCAUGCAACACUUGCUUGUGGACACAGAUACGAUUUCAGAGAACUGUCGCAGACUUGUGUUCAUUCUUUGUGUUUGCCGCAAACCCACUUUAGCUGCUGUUGUUCCCUCAGGUCUGAGAGCGUCAGGGUCGAGUGCCAGCUACAUUGACAGGCGUACGCACGCCCACCCCUUUUCCUUCUUAGUUUGGCUUUUAGUUUGUGA
Long non-coding RNA from Sinocyclocheilus rhinocerous, 1042 nucleotides. RefSeq lists it as uncharacterized. Lineage: Eukaryota; Metazoa; Chordata; Actinopteri; Cypriniformes; Cyprinidae. The transcript has 3 exons. The record is from RefSeq and is a predicted model, not a curated record.